UAAUACGGAGGGGGCUAGCGUUGUUCGGAAUUAUUGGGCGUAAAGGGCGCGUAGGCGGCCCGGUAAGUCAGUCGUGAAAUCCCUCAGCUCAACUGGGGAACUGCGAUUGAAACUGCCAGGCUUGAGUUCUGGAGAGGGUAGCGGAAUUCCCAGUGUAGCGGUGAAAUGCGUAGAUAUUGGGAGGAACACCCGUGGCGAAGGCGGCUACCUGGACAGAUACUGACGCUGAGGCGCGAAAGCGUGGGGAGCAAACAGGAUUAGAUACCCUGGUAGUCCACGCUGUAAACGAUGGGCACUUGGUGUUGCGGGUAUCGACCCCUGCAGUGCCGGAGCUAACGCAUUAAGUGCCCCGCCUGGGGAGUACGGUCGCAAGGCUG
RNAcentral lists this ribosomal RNA (377 nucleotides) under uncultured Anaerolineae bacterium. RNAcentral describes it as "bacterial SSU rRNA". It matches the Rfam family "Bacterial small subunit ribosomal RNA", at positions 521 to 896 of the family's 1533-position model. The record is from RNAcentral. Lineage: Bacteria; Bacillati; Chloroflexota; Anaerolineae.